AGUGGCAAGGACAGGUUAAUUUUGAUAAAGGGAGUGGAUGCUGUCCACAAGGUAAUUAAGGAGGAAGGUGAUCAAAAGGGUUCUUCUAGUUCUCAUAUGAGUAGAUCCAGGUCACCUGAUCGAAGCCCUGUUGGUUCAAGAUCACAACGUUCUGAUGUCCAUAGAUCACAUUCUGGUCCUACGAACACAUCACAAUUUCAGCCUAGGUUUAGCAGACAGGAGAA
This 224-nucleotide unclassified non-coding RNA is filed under the name Hevea brasiliensis (rubber tree). The record is from RNAcentral. Lineage: Eukaryota; Viridiplantae; Streptophyta; Magnoliopsida; Malpighiales; Euphorbiaceae.